This 75-nucleotide antisense RNA is filed under the name Micromonospora zamorensis. RNAcentral's name for it is "ASpks TB sRNA". It matches the Rfam family "ASpks TB sRNA". The record is from RNAcentral. Lineage: Bacteria; Bacillati; Actinomycetota; Actinomycetes; Micromonosporales; Micromonosporaceae.
CUUCACCGACCCGAGCCACAGCGGCUGGUCGGCGGGACGUUCCUGACCGUAGGUGGCGAGCAGCGCCUGGGCCUC